CCUACGGGAGGCAGCAGUAGGGAAUAUUGGGCAAUGGAGGCAACUCUGACCCAGCCAUGCCGCGUGCAGGAUGAAGGCGUUAUGCGUUGUAAACUGCUUUUAUAUAGGAAGAAAGAGUUCUUGCGAGAACAGUUGACGGUACUAUAUGAAUAAGCACCGGCUAACUCCGUGCCAGCAGCCGCGGUAAUACGGAGGGUGCAAGCGUUGUCCGGAUUUAUUGGGUUUAAAGGGUGCGUAGGCGGUUUAUUAAGUCAGUGGUGAAAGACGGUCGCUCAACGAUUGCAGUGCCAUUGAUACUGGUAGACUUGAGUGAGAUUGAGGUAGCUGGAAUGGAUAGUGUAGCGGUGAAAUGCAUAGAUAUUAUCCAGAACACCAAUUGCGUAGGCAAGUUACUAAGUCUCAACUGACGCUGAGGCACGAAAGUGUGGGUAUCAAACAGGAUUAGAUACCCUGGUAGUCCACACUGUAAACGAUGAUAACUAACUGUUGGCUUUCGGGUCAGUGGUACAGAGAAAUCGUUAAGUUAUCCACCUGGGGAGUACGCCGGCAACGGUGAAACGUCGAAAUGAAUUGAGNGNGAGAGNGCGAGGACGACGACGAGGGAGAGG
This 608-nucleotide ribosomal RNA is filed under the name uncultured bacterium. RNAcentral's name for it is "bacterial SSU rRNA". It matches the Rfam family "Bacterial small subunit ribosomal RNA", at positions 338 to 944 of the family's 1533-position model. The record is from RNAcentral.